CAAUUCAGGGGCUGCAUCCUUCGGAGGACGCAGCCUACGCGGUCUGCGGAGGUGAGUCCUUCGGAGGCACGUUCGAGGGCCGCAUUAACUGUUGUGAAAUGAGACGGUCUGGCCUUCGGAGGAUUUCCGGGUUGCGUCACCAAUUGUUCACGCCCUCACCUUUAAGUCAAGGUUUAUGCUGUCCAGGCCCACGAAAGAGAGAGAAAGAGAGAGAGAAAGGAAGAAAGAAAGAAAGAAAGAAAGAAAGAAAGAAAGAAAGAAAGAAGAGAAGAUAAUUUAUGGAGCCAGAGCUGUUACUUUUAUUUACUUAUUUUUUAAUUUUAUGCUGGAAGAAGAGGAGAAACGCCUCCGUCGGCUGGUGUAUCUCUGGCUGAGAGAGGACCGUAGAGACCAGACACCUGUACUGCAGGAUCAACCUGGCUGUUCCUGUACUGGACACAUGUUUUGGGCAGGGUGACACCAGGCCAGACUUCAGGCUGAGCAGAGAGUCUCUGGCAGUGCUGCUGGACCCCCUCCACCAGGAGCGGAGACAAUAAUAAAAACUCUUCUUUAAUAAAAUAAAAAAUUCAGUCCC
This is a long non-coding RNA of Notolabrus celidotus (New Zealand spotty), 574 nucleotides long. RefSeq lists it as uncharacterized. Lineage: Eukaryota; Metazoa; Chordata; Actinopteri; Labriformes; Labridae. The record is from RefSeq and is a predicted model, not a curated record. The transcript is spliced from 2 exons.